Molecule: ribosomal RNA, 425 nt
Filed under: uncultured bacterium
Lineage: Bacteria
Description: partial 16S ribosomal RNA
Rfam family: Bacterial small subunit ribosomal RNA
Source: RNAcentral
GUGGGGAAUCUUGCGCAAUGGGCGAAAGCCUGACGCAGCCAUGCCGCGUGAAUGAUGAAGGUCUUAGGAUUGUAAAAUUCUUUCACCGGGGACGAUAAUGACGGUACCCGGAGAAGAAGCUCCGGCUAACUUCGUGCCAGCAGCCGCGGUAAUACGAAGGGGGCUAGCGUUGCUCGGAAUUACUGGGCGUAAAGGGCGCGUAGGCGGACAGUUUAGUCAGAGGUGAAAGUCCAGGGCUCAACCUUGGAAUUGCCUUUGAUACUGGCUGUCUUGAGUACGGGAGAGGUGAGUGGAACUCCGAGUGUAGAGGUGAAAUUCGUAGAUAUUCGGAAGAACACCAGUGGCGAAGGCGACUCACUGGCCCGUUACUGACGCUGAGGCGCGAAAGCGUGGGGAGCAAACAGGAUUAGAAACCCGUGUAGUCC